Aegilops tauschii subsp. strangulata is the source of this 2945-nucleotide non-coding RNA. Lineage: Eukaryota; Viridiplantae; Streptophyta; Magnoliopsida; Poales; Poaceae. The record is from RefSeq and is a predicted model, not a curated record.
AAGCAAAAGGGUUAAACGUGCACGCGAUUCAAAUAGCUGAAAAGACGUGUCUCCUUGGAGCUCCCGUCGUCCACAUCUCUAUUCCCCACCCCCUUCCACCUCGCCAACAAACUCUCCGCCCACGUACCCCAGCUUAGAUUCUACUGGAGUUGGUCGAUCGUGGUGGGGGAUGAGAUGGUAACAGGAUUCGUCGAGCUACUCCACCUUCAUGACUCGCAGACGGAAGGCAUAGCAAAUCCAGAGUCUUCUUGUGGUAUCGACAUGCUGGCAUCAAUCGCCGCCGAUCUGGAUUUGGAGCCAAUCUCCAGACUUCCCCCUUUUCUUCCAGAUCCGAAGUUGUGGAUGGUAGCACAUCCGAUCCGAUUUGGGGUGACGCGCAAGCAGCCGAUGUACCCAAGUCCGGACAUGGCGAGACGAAUCCUUCUCCAUGGCAGUCAUCCGGAGGUUGGAAACGCAGGGAUGCAGCUGGGAGCUGUCUUCGGUUGAUUCCUGGUUUAUUUUUUAUUCAUUUUUUAUCUGUAUUGAUUCCUUGUUUCGGUCUUGAUAAAUGUGGUGCCUCGUAAUGUAUAGUUUUCAGCAGGUAGAGUAAUAUGCACCAUACAGAACGUGCAUAGUGGCAUAGUGCCGCUGUAGUUGUGUGUGUGCUUGUGUUAUUUUUUCCCUGUGUUGUAUCGCACUGCUCUGAUGAGCAUUUGAGUUAAUUUUGUUUAUUUUAUAAGGAACCGAUCCUGGGAUGGGCUUAAGGCGAGGGCAAUGCCAAGCAAGAUGAGCUCUAUUUAAUCAUGUCUGCUGAACUCCGAAGGCAAAAAUGCACCUGACACAUUUGCUCCUGUGGUAGAUAUGGUGGCGUGUUCGGUCUCUUCUUGAAUGGCGUCCCAGGCCGUGGAGAUGCGAACACUGCAGGAACCGGAUUCAUAAUGGACUUGCAGCUAGAGCAACCCCAAGCAAACUGAGCUAGAUUGAAAGAUGUCUCCUAAACUCUAAAGGCAAGCACACACCUAACACUUUUAGUCAUGUAGAAGGCAUGUCGUUUGAUUCAUGCCAAGAAGCGUACAAACAGUAAAACCUAUUCGUUUGGGAGAAUGGUUUCGGAAUUCGUCAUGGAAAAUCCAGAUGGGGAGAUGGGCGGCGCUACCAGCUGAUACACGAAAUUGUUUGCCAGUGCCAGGUCAGUUACAUAGCGUCAUGCUUGAAGUUUCAGUAGAACUACAUACAUCUUGUUGCCCCAUUUUGUGAUGAGAAAAUUUAAGAUGGUCCAAGUUAUAUGAGCCAUCAAUUUUGCCCAAUCCAAUGGGUGAAUGUGUCUUACCUCUUGGGAGGUAAGAAUCUAUUAAUUCCUUUACCAGGUCAAUAUAGACUUUGCACUUUACAUAAAUAAGGAAUAAGGAACUAAAUGAUUACAUAUUAAAGUGAGAUAACAAAAGGAAAGAAAUAUCAUUAUACUAAUUACAAUCUGUUUAUUUUGCACUUUUAGCUCUGUUACAUCCUCACAUAUUGAGCUUUAUUUUUCUGCCCAUUUUGAUAGCGGCAAAAGGUUCGUAAAAUACAUACACGCUUGUAAACCGGAUAGCAUAUUUGUCAAAUUACUGAUAUUCUUUAAUCUUUUACUGGAUUUCUCAACCUUUUUUGAUGAUUGUUUCUUGAGCUGAUACAAAUAAUAUAUGAUUAUGUAGUGUGAAAAUAAUUUUCUGUAUAGAUGGUUCUUGGAUAAUGACAAUUGUCAUUCUUGAAAGGUAUAGGUCUUUUUUUGGACUUAAAAAAAAUUACACCUUUCAAGAAAUAAGAGGUCUCUAUGGAAGAUAAUAUAUGAUAAUGUAAAGUGUGAAUAAUUUUCUGUAUACGAUGGUUCUUGGAGAAUGACAAUUAACUAUACCUUUCAAGAAAUAAGGGGUCUCUAUGGAAGAUAAUAUAUAGUGUGAAAAUAAUUUUCUAUAUACCAUGGUUCUUGGAGAAUGGCAAUUAACUAUAGCUUUCAAGAAAUAAGAGGUCUCUUUGAGAGAAUAUAUUUUCUUCUUCGAAAAACAAGUCUGCAUUAUGUGAUCAAUCCGAUAUGGGCGAAAGAAUGAUGGAUCCAUUCAAAGAUUUCCUUUUAGCAAGUGACUUGCCACAGUUGAGAAAUUUUACAUGUCCAGAAUUGCCUUUGACCAACAAAUGGUUGAGAUCAAAUACUCCUCUUACAUCAUAUGAGGAAAGACAUUAGCAAACAAUUGUCAUUCUUAAAAGUGUUUGGAAAAUUGGAUUCUUUCGUCCUUGGAAAUCGCUUGGCAUUUACUAUAUUGUAGACAUUAGCUUUGUCGUUGUCUCUGUGCUUGUGGUGUGCAGGGUAAACUAGGCAAAUAGAAAAAGAUCGUACAGAACAGAGUGCAAGGCGAGGAUGCGGCUCCUCCGCGCAAAGGAUCAUGGUUGGUAUGUCAGCAUAUUCAGUAACAAGCACAGUCACCCUCUGUCUGCAAGUCGUCAGGAGACGAGGCAUUGGAAUUCACAUAGUGAGAUCAAUCUGGUUCGUUUGAAUUUCAUCAAGAAUCUCAGGUAGAAUGGUAUACAAUAUUAUCAAUGCAACACAUGGAGAGAUCAGACCGGUGCAUCGUCCCGUAAGCAGAACUUAAGGUAUCUUUGCACAAGGAUAGCUCAAGAUGCAAUAACAGAUGACAUGGAUAAGACUGUCAACUUUUAGAAGAUAUGAAGUCUGUUGAUCCGAACCUGUCAGUACGCGUUGAAUUUGAUCAGGAAGGCUCCCCCAAGUUUGUCUUGUACGUGAAAGAUAGGAUUAUGUAUGGUGAAGAUAGGAUUAUGUAUGAUGAAUGUACGAUGCACCCUAUCUUCACGUACAUCUAUAUUUUGUAGAAACCAAAUAUAUUUUGCCGAUCCUAAAGAUAACUUAUCCUUGGUGAACAGUCAGCGUAACCAGUGUAAUUGUUUUCACCCAAUUAUUCCAUAAUCGCUAA